AAAUUGAAGAGUUUGAUCAUGGCUCAGAUUGAACGCUGGCGGCAGGCCUAACACAUGCAAGUCGAGCGGCAGCGGGAAAGUAGCUUGCUACUUUUGCCGGCGAGCGGCGGACGGGUGAGUAAUGCCUGGGAAAUUGCCCAGUCGAGGGGGAUAACAGUUGGAAACGACUGCUAAUACCGCAUACGCCCUACGGGGGAAAGCAGGGGACCUUCGGGCCUUGCGCGAUUGGAUAUGCCCAGGUGGGAUUAGCUAGUUGGUGAGGUAAUGGCUCACCAAGGCGACGAUCCCUAGCUGGUCUGAGAGGAUGAUCAGCCACACUGGAACUGAGACACGGUCCAGACUCCUACGGGAGGCAGCAGUGGGGAAUAUUGCACAAUGGGGGAAACCCUGAUGCAGCCAUGCCGCGUGUGUGAAGAAGGCCUUCGGGUUGUAAAGCACUUUCAGCGAGGAGGAAAGGUUGGCGCCUAAUACGU
This 473-nucleotide ribosomal RNA is filed under the name Aeromonas hydrophila. Its description in RNAcentral is "bacterial SSU rRNA". It matches the Rfam family "Bacterial small subunit ribosomal RNA", at positions 1 to 469 of the family's 1533-position model. Lineage: Bacteria; Pseudomonadati; Pseudomonadota; Gammaproteobacteria; Aeromonadales; Aeromonadaceae. The record is from RNAcentral.